This is a long non-coding RNA of Phyllopteryx taeniolatus (common seadragon), 833 nucleotides long. RefSeq lists it as uncharacterized. The transcript is spliced from 5 exons. The record is from RefSeq and is a predicted model, not a curated record. Lineage: Eukaryota; Metazoa; Chordata; Actinopteri; Syngnathiformes; Syngnathidae.
UUUAAGUGCAGAAUACUGGUCUAAAUUGAGAUUUAGUUGCAACUAUGACAUUAGGGGGCAGCACCUGUCCUGAUUCAUUAGUGCAACACUUGGGCAACUCCCAUUUCCAAGAUGGUGGCACCCAUGAAACCAGGCUCCAGCAAAAACAUUGCAGAAAGCGAGGUUCACAGGUUAAUAGAAGACUCAGAGAGCUUCCCAUGGGCUCACAGCAUGUGGGAGGGCGUCCCUGCUAAAGCUACUGGCCCCGCGACCCGACCAUAAGCGGUUGAAAAUGGACGGAUGGAUGGAUCCUCAUUAGGGUCGCAGGCUAGAACGGCAAAUGAUUAUGGAGAAGACGUCUGGGAAGCAAUAUCCCAUCUUCAGCCAGAAGAGAACAGUUCUCAUAGAUGGACACGCUGGCAAACACAAAUACCCUCCACGCCCCUGGCACCGCGUCGAGAACUUCACCAAGCAAUCAAGAUUUCCAAAAAAAGUUAUAGCCAUUGUACAUGCACAGUUUGGACAUUUACAGGUAAUUCAGCGAUUCUGUCACGUACCACUAGAGGAAGCUCACGUGCCACUACCACGUUUUAGGAUCACUAAUUUUGGUUGUAAAAUCACCUUACGUGUACACUAUGUCUUUGGAAUGUGGGAGGAAGUUGGAGUUCAUCCCAAGAAAGCCCCAUGGAAGCAUGGGAGAGAAUAAACUCCAGACUUUCGAACACAUAACCUCUUGGUUGCGCUAACCGCUAGACCACCGUGCAGCCUCUCCUUCUGUUUAUUUCCAUUAUGUGCAAGGCUCCACUUAACUAUGAAGGAAAGAACACAUUUCAUCAUUUGGAGGACAGGCCUAA